UGGGGAAUAUUGCACAAUGGGCGAAAGCCUGAUGCAGCGACGCCGCGUGAGGGAUGGAGGCCUUCGGGUUGUAAACCUCUUUCAGUAAGGGUGAAGGCUCUCUUUUGUGGAGGGUUGACAGUACUUGCAGAAGAAGCGCCGGCUAACUACGUUCCAGCAGCCGCGGUAAUACGUAGGGCGCGAGCGUUGUCCGGAAUUAUUGGGCGUAAAGGGCUUGUAGGUGGCGUGUCGCGUCUGCUGUGAAAUUCCAGGGCUUAACUUUGGGAUUGCAGUGGGUACGGGCAUGGUAGAGUGCAGUAGGGGAGAUUGGAAUUCCUGGUGUAGCGGUGAAAUGCGCAGAUAUCAGGAGGAACACCGGUGGCGAAGGCGGGUCUCUGGGCUGUUACUGACGCUGAGGAGCGAAAGCGUGGGGAGCGAACAGG
This 422-nucleotide ribosomal RNA is filed under the name Verrucomicrobiota bacterium. RNAcentral's name for it is "Verrucomicrobia bacterium partial 16S ribosomal RNA". It matches the Rfam family "Bacterial small subunit ribosomal RNA", at positions 355 to 776 of the family's 1533-position model. The record is from RNAcentral. Lineage: Bacteria; Pseudomonadati; Verrucomicrobiota.